CGUAAGCGCGCGCAGGCGGUUUCUUAAGUCUGAUGUGAAAGCCCCCGGCUCAACCGGGGAGGGUCAUUGGAAACUGGGGAACUUGAGUGCAGAAGAGGAGAGUGGAAUUCCACGUGUAGCGGUGAAAUGCGUAGAGAUGUGGAGGAACACCAGUGGCGAAGGCGACUCUCUGGUCUGUAACUGACGCUGAGGCGCGAAAGCGUGGGGAGCGAACAGGAUUAGAUACCCUGGUAGUCCACGCCGUAAACGAUGAGUGCUAAGUGUUAGAGGGUUUCCGCCCUUUAGUGCUGCAGCAAACGCAUUAAGCACUCCGCCUGGGGAGUACGGUCGCAAGACUGAAACUCAAAGGAAUUGACGGGGGCCCGCACAAGCGGUGGAGCAUGUGGUUUAAUUCGAAGCAACGCGAAGAACCUUACCAGGUCUUGACAUCCUCUGACAACCCUAGAGAUAGGGCUUCCCCUUCGGGGGCAGAGUGACAGGUGGUGCAUGGUUGUCGUCAGCUCGUGUCGUGAGAUGUUGGGUUAAGUCCCGCAACGAGCGCAACCCUUGAUCUUAGUUGCCAGCAUUCAGUUGGGCACUCUAAGGUGACUGCCGGUGACAAACCGGAGGAAGGUGGGGAUGACGUCAAAUCAUCAUGCCCCUUAUGACCUGGGCUACACACGUGCUACAAUGGGCAGAACAAAGGGCAGCGAAGCCGCGAGGCUAAGCCAAUCCCACAAAUCUGUUCUCAGUUCGGAUCGCAGUCUGCAACUCGACUGCGUGAAGCUGGAAUCGCUAGUAAUCGCGGAUCACAUG
Molecule: ribosomal RNA, 795 nt
Filed under: Bacillus sp. NW16
Lineage: Bacteria; Bacillati; Bacillota; Bacilli; Caryophanales; Bacillaceae
Description: bacterial SSU rRNA
Rfam family: Bacterial small subunit ribosomal RNA
Source: RNAcentral